CAAUAGCGUAUAUUAAAGUUGUUGCAGUUAAAAAGCUCGUAGUUGGAUUUCUGGUGGGCGCGAUCGGUCUGGCGCUUAGCGCGAGUACUUGCAUCGUCUCCGGCCAUCCUUGGGGAGAGUCUGUCUGGCAUUAAGUUGUCGGGCAGAGGAUCCUCAUCGUUUACUGUGAAAAAAUUAGAGUGUUCAAAGCAGGCUUAUGCCGUUGAAUAUAUUAGCAUGGAAUAAUAAGAUAGGACUUUGGUACUAUUUUGUUGGUUUGCGCACCAAAGUAAUGAUUAAUAGGGACAGUUGGGGGUAUUCGUAUUCCGUUGUCAGAGGUGAAAUUCUUGGAUUUACGGAAGACGAACUACUGCGAAAGCAUUUACCAAGGAUGUUUUCAUUAA
RNAcentral lists this ribosomal RNA (383 nucleotides) under uncultured eukaryote. Its description in RNAcentral is "partial 18S ribosomal RNA". It matches the Rfam family "Eukaryotic small subunit ribosomal RNA", at positions 592 to 976 of the family's 1831-position model. The record is from RNAcentral.